AUGCAUGUCGUACGGGGUAGCCGUAACGGUGGCUGACGAGUGGCGAACGGGUGAGUAAUACAUCGGAACGUGCCCGAGAGUGGGGGAUAACGCAGCGAAAGCUGUGCUAAUACCGCAUACGAUCUACGGAUGAAAGCAGGGGAUUCGCAAGGACCUUGCGCUCAUGGAGCGGCCGAUGGCAGAUUAGGUAGUUGGUGGGAUAAAAGCUUACCAAGCCGACGAUCUGUAGCUGGUCUGAGAGGACGACCAGCCACACUGGGACUGAGACACGGCCCAGACUCCUACGGGAGGCAGCAGUGGGGAAUUUUGGACAAUGGGCGAAAGCCUGAUCCAGCCAUGCCGCGUGCAGGAUGAAGGCCUUCGGGUUGUAAACUGCUUUUGUACGGAACGAAAAGAUCUCUUCUAAUAAAGGGGGUCCAUGACGGUACCGUAAGAAUAAGCACCGGCUAACUACGUGCCAGCAGCCGCGGUAAUACGUAGGGUGCAAGCGUUAUUCUGAAUUACUGGCC
RNAcentral lists this ribosomal RNA (509 nucleotides) under Comamonadaceae bacterium. Its description in RNAcentral is "bacterial SSU rRNA". It matches the Rfam family "Bacterial small subunit ribosomal RNA", at positions 55 to 559 of the family's 1533-position model. Lineage: Bacteria; Pseudomonadati; Pseudomonadota; Betaproteobacteria; Burkholderiales; Comamonadaceae. The record is from RNAcentral.